RNAcentral lists this long non-coding RNA (810 nucleotides) under Callithrix jacchus (white-tufted-ear marmoset). Its description in RNAcentral is "lncRNA (ENSCJAG00000080886.1)". The record is from RNAcentral. Lineage: Eukaryota; Metazoa; Chordata; Mammalia; Primates; Cebidae.
GUAAAUAAAUCACACAUGUUGUUUUCAAGACGUUUAGGCAAGUUUGCACUGCAUCCUGCUGGAGGGUAGAGGCUGCUGAAACCUCCAGCUCUCAGCUAAGGCAGCUGCGGUCUCACCUGCUUGCGUGGUGGUCUCCAGCACAGGCCUCUUCUGUAUGCCUUCACAGUACUCAUUGAUAAGAACUCUUGUUCCCACUCCCCUUCUUGCUUGUCUCACAGGAUUGAUAUGUGCGAAGUCUAUUCCUAGUCUCUACUCUCACACAAAGGUCUCAGCCCAGGUUAUCGGUUAAUUCUUUCAUAAUCUUUAAGGCCUGUGUUUUCCUGCCUCUUGUCACUAGCAUCAUCAUUGAUAACCCAAGGUGUGGAAUUUUGUGCCAUUGCCUAUGAUUGUGUGGGUGGAAAAAUCCUAUGAUGAAGUCAAUGUUUUGUGAAGAUUAACAUCAUGGUGUUGUUAAGUCCAUAUGUCAGGGAGAGUAAUUGGGUUUCUGAAUUCUAGGUUGUUGCAGGAAUCUGGCCAUCAGGCAGUGAGGAGCUGGACCAGAGUGAUGGUGCUGGGAUGCAGUGGGAAGGAAUUAACUGAAAAGACAUUGUAUUGCUAACUCCAAUUCCCAGAUGUAGAACUUGGAUGGAUCUUUGGCUUUGAUUGUAUCCAAAUCUAGCAGCAAACAUGAAUAGCCAUCCAGUGUUUUCCUGUCAUGAGGAAACAUUAAAGCAGCCUUUUCAUUUUAGGAUAUGGAGAAUGAAUUAUUAUCAGAGGAUGGGAAAUAUUGAAGCAUUUCUGAAAAAUAGGAAAGAGAGGGAUUCAAAGUGA